AGGGUUGUGGCUCAGUGGUAGAGUGCCUGCCUAGCAUGCAUGAGGCACUAGGUUUGAUCCCUGGCACCACAU
Molecule: transfer RNA, 72 nt
Filed under: Ictidomys tridecemlineatus (thirteen-lined ground squirrel)
Lineage: Eukaryota; Metazoa; Chordata; Mammalia; Rodentia; Sciuridae
Description: Spermophilus tridecemlineatus (thirteen-lined ground squirrel) tRNA
Rfam family: tRNA
About the family: Transfer RNA (tRNA) molecules are approximately 80 nucleotides in length. Their secondary structure includes four short double-helical elements and three loops (D, anti-codon, and T loops).
Source: Rfam by way of RNAcentral